Molecule: long non-coding RNA, 247 nt
Organism: Dendronephthya gigantea
Lineage: Eukaryota; Metazoa; Cnidaria; Anthozoa; Malacalcyonacea; Nephtheidae
Exons: 3
Source: RefSeq, a predicted model, not a curated record
GUAGAACACCAUAAUGAAUCUACUAUAGUUUCCAUGGAGAUCGAUGAUCAUUCCAUGCAGAUUACCAAUAUAACAGAUGAUCAGUGCCAUGUUUGCUUUGGGGAGGUAUCGGGGGCACAUAUGUGCGCAUCAUGUCAUCGUGCUGUCCAUGUAUUUUGCGGUGUUGGAAUAGGGCCAGAAGGCUAUGGGCAAGAAGUAAGGUGUUUCAAAUGCCAGAAUACGGAUAAUUUACUUCAUCCAAACGAAA